This 274-nucleotide ribosomal RNA is filed under the name uncultured bacterium. RNAcentral's name for it is "partial 16S ribosomal RNA". It matches the Rfam family "Bacterial small subunit ribosomal RNA", at positions 523 to 796 of the family's 1533-position model. The record is from RNAcentral.
AUACGGAGGGCGCGAGCGUUAUUCGGAAUCAUUGGGCGUAAAGCGCGUGUAGGCGGCUGGGUAAGUCGGAUGUGAAAGCCCGGGGCUCAACUCCGGAAUUGCAUACGAAACUGCCCAGCUAGAGUCUCGGAGAGGAGGGCGGAAUUCCCGGUGUAGAGGUGAAAUUCGUAGAUAUCGGGAGGAACACCAGUGGCGAAGGCGGCCCUCUGGACGAUGACUGACGCUGAGACGCGAAAGCGUGGGGAGCAAACAGGAUUAGAAACCCCGGUAGUCC